AACGACAUCGAAAGCUUGCUUUUGAUGGGCGUCGACCGGCGCACGGGUGAGUAACGCGUAUCCAACCUGCCCACCACUUGGGGAUAACCUUGCGAAAGUAAGACUAAUACCCAAUGACGUCUCUAGAAGACAUCUGAAAGGGAUUAAAGAUUUAUCGGUGAUGGAUGGGGAUGCGUCUGAUUAGCUUGUUGGCGGGGUAACGGCCCACCAAGGCGACGAUCAGUAGGGGUUCUGAGAGGAAGGUCCCCCACAUUGGAACUGAGACACGGUCCAAACUCCUACGGGAGGCAGCAGUGAGGAAUAUUGGUCAAUGGGCGAGAGCCUGAACCAGCCAAGUAGCGUGCAGGAUGACGGCCCUAUGGGUUGUAAACUGCUUUUAUA
This 381-nucleotide ribosomal RNA is filed under the name uncultured bacterium. RNAcentral's name for it is "bacterial SSU rRNA". It matches the Rfam family "Bacterial small subunit ribosomal RNA", at positions 65 to 440 of the family's 1533-position model. The record is from RNAcentral.